GACGAACGCGGGCGGCGUGCCUAAUACAUGCAAGUAGAACGCUGAAGAGAGGAGCUUGCUCUUCUUGGAAGAGUUGCGAACGGGUGAGUAACGCGUAGGUAACCUGCCUUGUAGCGGGGGAUAACUAUUGGAAACGAUAGCUAAUACCGCAUAACAAUGGGUGACCCAUGUCAUUUAUUUGAAAGGGGCAAAUGCUCCACUACAAGAUGGACCUGCGUUGUAUUAGCUAGUAGGUGAGGUAACGGCUCACCUAGGCGACGAUACAUAGCCGACCUGAGAGGGUGAUCGGCCACACUGGGACUGAGACACGGCCCAGACUCCUACGGGAGGCAGCAGUAGGGAAUCUUCGGCAAUGGGGGCAACCCUGACCGAGCAACGCCGCGUGAGUGAAGAAGGUUUUCGGAUCGUAAAGCUCUGUUGUAAGUCAAGAACGAGUGUGAGAGUGGAAAGUUCACACUGUGACGGUAGCUUACCAGAAAGGGACGGCUAACUACGUGCCAGCAGCCGCGGUAAUACGUAGGUCCCGAGCGUUGUCCGGAUUUAUUGGGCGUAAAGCGAGCGCAGGCGGUUUGAUAAGUCUGAAGUUAAAGGCUGUGGCUCAACCAUAGUUCGCUUUGGAAACUGUCAAACUUGAGUGCAGAAGGGGAGAGUGGAAUUCCAUGUGUAGCGGUGAAAUGCGUAGAUAUAUGGAGGAACACCGGUGGCGAAAGCGGCUCUCUGGUCUGUAACUGACGCUGAGGCUCGAAAGCGUGGGGAGCGAACAGG
RNAcentral lists this ribosomal RNA (765 nucleotides) under uncultured Streptococcus sp. RNAcentral's name for it is "bacterial SSU rRNA". It matches the Rfam family "Bacterial small subunit ribosomal RNA", at positions 28 to 776 of the family's 1533-position model. Lineage: Bacteria; Bacillati; Bacillota; Bacilli; Lactobacillales; Streptococcaceae. The record is from RNAcentral.